Molecule: small RNA, 99 nt
Filed under: Clostridium cylindrosporum
Lineage: Bacteria; Bacillati; Bacillota; Clostridia; Eubacteriales; Clostridiaceae
Also listed under: 1 other name
Description: Guanidine-I sequence
Rfam family: Guanidine-I riboswitch aptamer
About the family: This family represents a conserved RNA structure found upstream of the ykkC and yxkD genes in Bacillus subtilis and related genes in other bacteria.
Source: RNAcentral
UUAAAUGUUUUCUAGGGUUCCGCAGCAAUUUUGUUGGUCUGGACCGAGAGAAGACACACAGUUAUCGCUGUGCCACGGAAGGAUAAAAGCCUGGGAGAU